Molecule: ribosomal RNA, 486 nt
Filed under: uncultured bacterium
Lineage: Bacteria
Description: partial 16S ribosomal RNA
Rfam family: Bacterial small subunit ribosomal RNA
Source: RNAcentral
AUUGAACGCUGGCGGCAUGCCUUACACAUGCAAGUCGAACGGCAGCACGGGUGCUUGCACCUGGUGGCGAGUGGCGAACGGGUGAGUAAUACAUCGGAACAUGUCCUGUAGUGGGGGAUAGCCCGGCGAAAGCCGGAUUAAUACCGCAUACGAUCUACGGAUGAAAGCGGGGGACCUUCGGGCCUCGCGCUAUAGGGUUGGCCGAUGGCUGAUUAGCUAGUUGGUGGGGUAAAGGCCUACCAAGGCGACGAUCAGUAGCUGGUCUGAGAGGACGACCAGCCACACUGGGACUGAGACACGGCCCAGACUCCUACGGGAGGCAGCAGUGGGGAAUUUUGGACAAUGGGCGAAAGCCUGAUCCAGCAAUGCCGCGUGUGUGAAGAAGGCCUUCGAGUUGUAAAGCACUUUUGUCCGGAAAGAAAUCCUUGGCCCUAAUACGGUCGGGGGAUGACGGUACCGGAAGAAUAAGCACCGGCUAACUACGUG